GACGAACGCUGGCGGCGUGCUUAACACAUGCAAGUCGAGCGGUAAGGCCCUUUCGGGGGUACACGAGCGGCGAACGGGUGAGUAACACGUGGGUGACCUGCCCUUAGCUCUGGGAUAAGCCUGGGAAACUGGGUCUAAUACCGGAUAUGACUCCAUGACGCAUGUUGUGGGGUGGAAAGCCUUGUGCGGCUAGGGAUGGGCCUGCGGCCUAUCAGCUUGUUGGUGGGGUGAUGGCCUACCAAGGCGACGACGGGUAGCCGGCCUGAGAGGGCGACCGGCCACACUGGGACUGAGACACGGCCCAGACUCCUACGGGAGGCAGCAGUGGGGAAUCUUGCGCAAUGGGCGAAAGCCUGACGCAGCGACGCCGCGUGGGGAGUGACGGCC
RNAcentral lists this ribosomal RNA (387 nucleotides) under uncultured bacterium. RNAcentral describes it as "bacterial SSU rRNA". It matches the Rfam family "Bacterial small subunit ribosomal RNA", at positions 28 to 416 of the family's 1533-position model. The record is from RNAcentral.